CCUACGGGUGGCAGCAGUGGGGAAUAUUGCACAAUGGGGGAAACCCUGAUGCAGCGACGCCGCGUGAGUGAAGAAGGAAUUCGUUAUGUAAAGCUCUAUCAGUAGGGAAGAAAAUGACGGUACCUGAGGAAGAAGCCCUGGCUAACUACGUGCCAGCAGCCGUGGUAAUACGGAGGGGGCAAGCGUUAUCCGGAUUUACUGGGUGUAAAGGGAGCGUAGUCGGUAGUGCAAGUCUGGAGUGAAAGUCGGGGGCUCAACCCCCGGACUGCUCUGGAAACUGUACGGCUGGAGUGCAGGAGAGGUAAGUGGAAUUCCUGGUGUAGCGGUGAAAUGCAUAGAUAUUAAGAGGAACACCAGUGGCGAAGGCGGCUUACUGGACUGUAACUGACGUUGAGGCUCGAAAGCGUGGGGAGCAAACAGGAUUAGAUACCCUUGUAGUC
This 440-nucleotide ribosomal RNA is filed under the name uncultured bacterium. Its description in RNAcentral is "partial 16S ribosomal RNA". It matches the Rfam family "Bacterial small subunit ribosomal RNA", at positions 338 to 795 of the family's 1533-position model. The record is from RNAcentral.